RNAcentral lists this non-coding RNA (30 nucleotides) under Mus musculus (house mouse). The record is from RNAcentral. Lineage: Eukaryota; Metazoa; Chordata; Mammalia; Rodentia; Muridae.
UUCCUUUCCUUAGAAAAAAAACGAACGCAU